GGCCUGAUCGGCCACUUGACCAGCCCCUCCGUUGUCUGGAAUUAGAAGACGAUGUGUUUCCAUCAUAAUAUUCUUCAAUUUCAGGUUUGAAAAUUUGGAAGAAGUGGCUGUCAAAAAAGUAUUGAGGGGUUGAGAAAAAUGAGGAGACCAAUUUCUAAUACACCAAAACAUUUUUUUUCUGCACAGAAAGCACAAUAUAUAUUAAAGGAAUUAAACACAAUACUCAGUAAUCCACUA
Galeopterus variegatus (Sunda flying lemur) is the source of this 237-nucleotide long non-coding RNA. RefSeq lists it as uncharacterized. The transcript has 2 exons. Lineage: Eukaryota; Metazoa; Chordata; Mammalia; Dermoptera; Cynocephalidae. The record is from RefSeq and is a predicted model, not a curated record.